ACGGCUCAGUAACACGUGGCUAACCUACCCUUGGGACGGGGACAACCCCGGGAAACUGGGGCUAAUCCCCGAUGGGUGAGGAGGCCUGGAAUGGUUCCUCGCCGAAAGGGCGCUGAAACCACGCUUUUCAGCGUUGCCCAAGGACGGGGCCGCGGCCGAUCAGGUUGUUGGUGGGGUAACGGCUCACCAAGCCUUUGACCGGUACGGGCCGUGAGAGCGGGAGCCCGGAGAUGGGCACUGAGAUAAGGGCCCAGGCCCUACGGGGCGCAGCAGGCGCGAAAACUCCGCAAUGUGCGAAAGCGUGACGGGGCUAUCCCGAGUGCCGUCCGCUGAGGAUGGCUUUUCCACGGUGUAAGGAGCCGUGGGAAUAAGGAGAGGGCAAGACUGGUGUCAGCCGCCGCGGUAAUACCAGCUCUCCGGGUGGUAGGGACGAUUAUUGGGCUUAAAGCGUCCGUAGCCGGCCCGGUAAGUCUCUCGUCAAAUCCAGCGACCUAAUCGCUGGGCUGCGGGAGAUACUGUUGGGCUAGGGGGCGGGAGAAGCCGACGGUAUUCUCGGGGUAGGGGUGAAAUCCUAUAAUCCCGGGAGGACCACCAGUGGCGAAGGCGGUCGGCCAGAACGCGCUCGACGGUGAUGGACGAAAGCUGGGGGAGCGAACCGGAUUAGAUACCCGGGUAGUCCCAGCUGUAAACGAUGCGGGCUAGGUGUUGGGGAGGCUACGAGCCUCUUCAGUGCCGCAGCGAAGGCAUUAAGCCCGCCGCCUGGGGAGUACGGCCGCAAGGCUGAAACUUAAAGGAAUUGGCGGGGGAGCACCACAAGGGGU
Molecule: ribosomal RNA, 821 nt
Filed under: uncultured archaeon
Lineage: Archaea
Description: bacterial SSU rRNA
Rfam family: Archaeal small subunit ribosomal RNA
Source: RNAcentral